GACGAACGCUGGCGGCGUGCUUAACACAUGCAAGUCGAACGGAGUUGCAGGAGAGCUUGCUUGAAUGCAACUUAGUGGCGAACGGGUGAGUAACGCGUGAGUAACCUGUCUCAUACAGGGGGAUAACGCAUCGAAAGGUGUGCUAAUACCGCAUAAGACCACAGAGCCGCAUGGUUCAGGGUCAAAGGAGUAAUCCGGUAUGAGGUGGACUCGCGUCUGAUUAGAUAGUUGGUGAGGUAACGGCUCACCAAGUCGACGAUCGGUAGCCGACCUGAGAGGGUGAUCGGCCACAUUGGGACUGAGACACGGCCCAGACUCCUACGGGAGGCAGCAGUGGGGAAUAUUGGGGCAAUGGGCGCAAGCCUGACCCAGCAACGCCGCGUGAGGGAAGAAGGUUUUCGGAUGUAAACUUCAACAAUCAGGGACGAAGAAAGUGACGGUACCUGACUGAAGCCACGGCUAACUACGUG
RNAcentral lists this ribosomal RNA (470 nucleotides) under uncultured bacterium. RNAcentral describes it as "bacterial SSU rRNA". It matches the Rfam family "Bacterial small subunit ribosomal RNA", at positions 28 to 507 of the family's 1533-position model. The record is from RNAcentral.